Molecule: ribosomal RNA, 82 nt
Filed under: Bacillus halotolerans
Lineage: Bacteria; Bacillati; Bacillota; Bacilli; Caryophanales; Bacillaceae
Description: partial 23S ribosomal RNA
Source: RNAcentral
AUCAGGUUGAUAGGUCUGAGGUGGAAGUGUGGCGACACAUGGAGCUGACAGAUACUAAUCGAUCGAGGACUUAACCUAAUUU